GGAUAAUAGCUUCCUACAGUGGCUUCAAUCUGCGGAAUCUUCGAAACUUUCUUAUCACGACAGCGACAAAGACGUCACUUAUAUAUACUUGUAGAAGAUAGAGCAAAAGAUUGAAGAAAGUGAAGCGAAUGAUGUGAUGGGAAUAAUAUAUAUGAAAACGAAAAAACGACACCGGAAAGGUGAAGCUGCCCAUGAAAACCACUUCUAUAAUCUGCAAAAGGAACAAUUAUAUACAAAAGAUGUGAGAGGUCCUACACGACGAGAUCUCGUGUGACCCAUGAGAAACAAAUCAAGCGUCAUCAGGAGGCUAUUAAAAUCGCCGUAACAAAAAACGGAUAUGGAACAGAAAGUGAAUGAAGAAACUUCUUCAAUAAUAACUAUAUUAGCGUGAUACUCAUGAUUUCGGCGGCUAUUUACUAUAUUGGUUUCGAUGUAAAGAUAAUAGAUAAUAUAUCUCUCUUAAUA
This is a long non-coding RNA of Wasmannia auropunctata (little fire ant), 465 nucleotides long. RefSeq lists it as uncharacterized. The record is from RefSeq and is a predicted model, not a curated record. The transcript has 2 exons. NCBI's taxonomy places the organism in Eukaryota, Metazoa, Arthropoda, Insecta, Hymenoptera, Formicidae.